Molecule: long non-coding RNA, 511 nt
Organism: Sesamum indicum (sesame)
Lineage: Eukaryota; Viridiplantae; Streptophyta; Magnoliopsida; Lamiales; Pedaliaceae
Source: RefSeq, a predicted model, not a curated record
UUAAAUAUUAAAAAAGUAGAAUUAAUAUAUAUGAAUUAAAAAAUAGUACCAAAAUACAAAUUACAUUAAAAAAAUUCUAAUCUAAAGCGGCUUCCAGGUCUUGCUCAUCACCGAGCUCCUUAGUUGUGGUUGGCUUAUCUACUAGAGGCUGGGGGGGGUCAGCGUUGGAGGAAUGGUGAUUGUGGCGGUGAUGCGGUCCUCUAUGAUGGUCCCACAGUCGACGCGCGCCUCUGUGCCCAGACCGAAUACAUGGACCUUAUUUCGAUUGCAGACUAUCGAGAUCCAUAGUUGUUGCCCGGUCUAAGCCACAGAGCCUGCUGAAGAAGCAAGAAGCUCUUGCUCAUGACGGGUGCCUAGAGCUAUCGGUCCUCCAGCAACUUUUAGAAGAUCUCUAAAUAAAAAAGAAUUAAUUAGUGAAAAACAAACAACAAGUGUUACUUUUUUAUGUCCUUAUCACUACUUGCACUGCCCUCGAUCCAUUCUAAUUAGUGUUGACUUUCUUGUUGUAGCA